CAAUGUGGUUUAAUUCGAUGAUACGCGAGGAACCUUACCCGGGCUUGAAAUGCAUCUGACCGGCCUUGAAAGAGGCAAUCCCUUCGGGGCAGAUGUGUAGGUGCUGCAUGGUUGUCGUCAGCUCGUGCCGUGAGGUGUCGGCUUAAGUGCCAUAACGAGCGCAACCCUCAUCAUUAGUUACCAUCAGGUAAGGCUGGGGACUCUAAUGAGACUGCCAUCGUAAGAUGUGAGGAAGGUGGGGAUGACGUCAAAUCAGCACGGCCCUUACGUCCGGGGCGACACACGUGUUACAAUGGGUGGUACAAAGGGCAGCUACCUGGCGACAGGAUGCUAAUCUCGAAAACCGCUCUCAGUUCGGAUCGGAGUCUGCAACUCGACUCCGUGAAGCUGGAUUCGCUAGUAAUCGCGCAUCAGCCACGGCGCGGUGAAUACGUUCCCGGGCCUU
Molecule: ribosomal RNA, 445 nt
Filed under: uncultured Proteiniphilum sp.
Lineage: Bacteria; Pseudomonadati; Bacteroidota; Bacteroidia; Bacteroidales; Dysgonomonadaceae
Description: bacterial SSU rRNA
Rfam family: Bacterial small subunit ribosomal RNA
Source: RNAcentral